Molecule: ribosomal RNA, 253 nt
Filed under: uncultured bacterium
Lineage: Bacteria
Description: partial 16S ribosomal RNA
Rfam family: Bacterial small subunit ribosomal RNA
Source: RNAcentral
CACGGGGGGAGCAAGCGUUGUUCGGAAUCACUGGGCGUAAAGGGUGCGUAGGCGGUCGGGUAAGUCUGACGUGAAAUCUCCAAGCUCAACUUGGAAAUGGCGUCGGAUACUAUUCGGCUCGAGGAAUGGAGGGGAGACUGGAAUUCUCGGUGUAGCAGUGAAAUGCGUAGAUAUCGAGAGGAACACCAGUGGCGAAGGCGAGUCUCUGGACAUUUCCUGACGCUGAGGCACGAAAGCCAGGGGAGCAAACGGG